AUUACCGCGGCUGCUGGCACGUAGUUGGCCGGUGCUUCUUCUGCAGGUACCGUCACUUUCGCUUCGUCCCUGCUGAAAGAGGUUUACAACCCGAAGGGCCGUCAUCCCUCACGCGGCGUCGCUGCAUCAGGCUUUCGCCCAUUGUGCAAUAUUCCCCACUGCUGCCUCCCGUAGG
Molecule: ribosomal RNA, 175 nt
Filed under: uncultured actinomycete GT36
Lineage: Bacteria; Bacillati; Actinomycetota; Actinomycetes; Actinomycetales
Description: partial 16S ribosomal RNA
Source: RNAcentral